UGCGGCAGCUACACAUGCAGUCGAGCGCACCUUCGGGUGAGCGGCGGACGGGUUAGUAACGCGUGGGAACGUACCCUUUUCUACGGAAUAGCCUUUGGAAACGAAGAGUAAUACCGUAUACGCCCUUCGGGGGAAAGAUUUAUCGGAGAAGGAUCGGCCCGCGUUAGAUUAGAUAGUUGGUGGGGUAACGGCCUACCAAGUCUACGAUCUAUAGCUGGUUUGAGAGGAUGAUCAGCAACACUGGGACUGAGACACGGCCCAGACUCCUACGGGAGGCAGCAGUGGGGAAUCUUGGACAAUGGGCGCAAGCCUGAUCCAGCCAUGCCGCGUGAGUGACGAAGGCCCUAGGGUCGUAAAGCUCUUUCGCCAGGGAUGAUAAUGACAGUACCUGGUAAAGAAACCCCGGCUAACUCCGUGCCAGCAGCCGCGGUAAUACGGAGGGGGUUAGCGUUGUUCGGAAUUACUGGGCGUAAAGCGCACGUAGGCGGACUAGUCAGUCAGAGGUGAAAUCCCAGGGCUCAACCCUGGAACUGCCUUUGAUACUGCUAGUCUAGAGUUCGAGAGAGGUGAGUGGAAUUCCGAGUGUAGAGGUGAAAUUCGUAGAUAUUCGGAGGAACACCAGUGGCGAAGGCGGCUCACUGGCUCGAUACUGACGCUGAGGUGCGAAAGUGUGGGGAGCAAACAGGAUUAGAUACCCUGGUAGUCCACACCGUAAACGAUGAAUGCCAGACGUCGGGGGGGCUUGCCCUUC
RNAcentral lists this ribosomal RNA (751 nucleotides) under uncultured bacterium. RNAcentral's name for it is "bacterial SSU rRNA". It matches the Rfam family "Bacterial small subunit ribosomal RNA", at positions 38 to 841 of the family's 1533-position model. The record is from RNAcentral.